Molecule: ribosomal RNA, 420 nt
Filed under: uncultured bacterium
Lineage: Bacteria
Description: bacterial SSU rRNA
Rfam family: Bacterial small subunit ribosomal RNA
Source: RNAcentral
UCAGCAGCCGCGGUAAGACGAAGGAUGCAAGCGUUAUCCGGAUUCAUUGGGUUUAAAGGGAGCGUAGGCGGACUUAUAAGUCAGUGGUGAAAUCUCCGAGCUUAACUCGGAAACUGCCAUUGAUACUGUAGGUCUAGAGUACAGUUGCCGUUGGCGGAAUAUGACAUGUAGUGGUGAAAUACUUAGAUAUGUCAUAGAACACCGAUUGCGAAGGCAGCUAACGAAGCUGUAACUGACGCUGAGGCUCGAAAGUGCGGGGAUCAAACAGGAUUAGAUACCCUGGUAGUCCGCACUGUAAACGAUGAUUACUCGUUGCUGGGGAGCAAUUUCCAGUGACCAAGCGAAAGCGAUAAGUAAUCCACCUGGGGAGUACGCCGGCAACGGUGAAACUCAAAGGAAUUGACGGGGGCCCGCACAAGC